UACAGCCAUAUCACAUUGAAACACCAGUUCCCAUACAAUCACCAAAGUUAAGCAACGUCAAGCCUAGUCAGUACCAACAUGAGUGACCACUUAGGAAUAUCAGGUGCUGCAAG
Acanthosepion pharaonis is the source of this 113-nucleotide non-coding RNA. NCBI's taxonomy places the organism in Eukaryota, Metazoa, Mollusca, Cephalopoda, Sepiida, Sepiidae. The record is from the annotation of a GenBank genome assembly.